Molecule: ribosomal RNA, 307 nt
Filed under: uncultured bacterium
Lineage: Bacteria
Description: bacterial SSU rRNA
Rfam family: Bacterial small subunit ribosomal RNA
Source: RNAcentral
GACGGACGCUGGCGGCGUGCUUAACACAUGCAAGUCGAGCGGUAAGGCCCUUUCGGGGGUACACGAGCGGCGAACGGGUGAGUAACACGUGGGUGACCUGCCCUCAGCUCUGGGGAUAAGCCCUGGGAAACCGGGUCUAAUACCGGAUAUGACUCCAUGACGCAUGUUGUGGGGUGAAAGCCUUGUGCGGCUGAGGAUGGGCCCGNGGCCUAUCAGCUUGUUGGUGGGGUGAUGGCCUACCAAGCGACGACGGGUAGCCGGCCUGAGAGGGCGACCGGCCACACUGGGACUGAGACACGGCCCAGAC